UACGUAGGUGGCAAGCGUUGUCCGGAUUUACUGGGCGUAAAGAGCGCGCAGGCGGUCGUUUAAGUCGAAUGUGAAAGCCCCCGGCUCAACUGGGGAGGGUCAUUCGAUACUGAUCGACUUGAAGGCAGGAGAGAGAAGUGGAAUUCCCGGUGUAGUGGUGAAAUGCGUAGAUAUCUGGAGGAACACCGGUGGCGAAGGCGGCAUCCUGGACCAACACUGACACUGAGGAGCGAAAGCCAGGGGAGCAAACGGG
This 253-nucleotide ribosomal RNA is filed under the name uncultured bacterium. RNAcentral's name for it is "partial 16S ribosomal RNA". It matches the Rfam family "Bacterial small subunit ribosomal RNA", at positions 524 to 776 of the family's 1533-position model. The record is from RNAcentral.